RNA transcript from Phoenix dactylifera (date palm), 1775 nucleotides. It is a transcript of the gene named reticulon-like protein B22, with no coding region annotated. The record is from RefSeq and is a predicted model, not a curated record. Lineage: Eukaryota; Viridiplantae; Streptophyta; Magnoliopsida; Arecales; Arecaceae.
AGGAGACGAUAGCGGCAGAAUUUUGACCGGGCCCUGAUCUGACGACCUGGAAUCUCUGGCCGAGGCCUGAUGAAAAUCCGGGGAGCUGAUCUUGUCCAUGCUUGAACCGUGCAGGUAUAACAAGCCAGGUGCUUCUUCUGGGAAGGAAAAGGGGGAAAAAUCUCCGGGAAUUUAUUUCCCGACUUCAGAAUUCUUCGGUAAAAGGUUCAGCACGCCGAGUCCAACAGGGGCAGGGGCCGGCGGCGGCGGCGGCGGCUGGUGAAUAGAACACGGCGAGAAAAAUUAGGGUUUGAGCCGCCUCUCUUUCUAUCGGAGAGAUGGAGGAGGAGGCGGAGGGGGGACGGGUGGAGGUGGGGCGGCCCGCGGUGGUGCUGGUGUGCGGGAGCCUGAUCUACUACCACUGCGCGUACCGGGAGUCAAGCCUCCUCUCCCUCGUCUCCGACGUCCUCAUCGUCCUUCUCUGUUCCCUCGCCAUCCUCGGCAUGCUUUUCCGCCAGAUGAACAUCUCGGUACCUGUAGAUCCUCUUGAAUGGCAGAUUUCUCAGGACACAGCCAAUUCAAUUGCUGCAUGCUUGGCUAAUACAAUAGGGGCAGCAGAGUCUGUGUUACGGGUUGCUGCAACAGGACAUGACAAGAGGCUAUUUUUGAAGGUGGUGCUUAUUCUAUACCUCCUAGCAGCUUUGGGACGAGUUGCUUCAGGUGCUACGGUGGCUUAUGCUGGAUUGUGCUUGCUUUGUAUGUACGCUUUUGCCCAAAAUUCCCAACUGAUCAAUAGGUGCAUUUCUCGGUUUUCAAAACGAAGAGACUCUACAGGUGGAGCUCAGGAUGCCAUAUAAGGGAUGGUCUAGUUUCAGAGCCACCUCAUCUGAAGAAAAACGAAAAAUUGUACAAGGGAGCUGCAGAUCGUACAAAAACCUGUGGCAGAGAACUUUCUCAUUCAUUGUCAUGGUGUUUGCAUCACAAACAUUCUGGAAUUUCAUCUCGGAAUAAGUAUUUGAUGUGAUGAAAUUAAAAUGAUGUGAAGUUUUAGUUAUACCUUCUCAUGCGCUUCAAAUCAGAAACGUUUGUGCUUUGUUCGCAUGACCCAGGCUCGAAUUCGAAUGAUUCGUCAUCUGACUGCUCAGAACCACUUGUUCCUCCUGGAGCUUGAUUCUCUCUACCUUUAGGCUUAUGAGCUGAAGUUGGGGUACCAGCUAUCAAAAAAUCAGUGUCAUGAUACAAUUAGAUCAUUCUAUUGCAUGCAAAAACUGGGAUCGAUCAUGGUAAAAGCCUUUGACCUACAAGCGCAAUGAUGCGGGUUCCAAUCCUAGGAGAACCAUUUGUAAAGAAAAAGAACCUGAAAGAUUAGUACUGUACCAUAACUACAUAAUGUUUUUCUUUAUUUUUUUUUAAAUUUUUAAGUAUGCAUAAACUGUGACCUGCAAAGAGGGCAGUGGGCAGGAAAAGGGAGCAGCUAUAGAAAGUAACAAGUAACUCAAACAAAGUGUUUCAUGGAUGUUAGAUGGUUAGAGAAGCCGGCCUGGUGAAGUUGAAUUCCCUCUGAUCUCAGUCAUGAGUAUCUUUCGCAAGAAAAAAUGGUUGAUUUUCCUCUUUUUAUGGCCUCAAUAAUUAUAUCUCAUUCUGCACAGAUUUCAAAGUAUCUUUUUAUUCAGCUGCUUGCAUGGUUAUCAAAGCAAUCAUUGCAUGAUCCAAUGAUGGAUUCGCAUGGAGGAAGAUGAAUCCUUCCUUGAUGCGAAAGAUACCUCCCCUGUUCCUCGGUCAUAUGAAAAUUGAAA